Molecule: long non-coding RNA, 3097 nt
Organism: Felis catus (domestic cat)
Lineage: Eukaryota; Metazoa; Chordata; Mammalia; Carnivora; Felidae
Exons: 2
Source: RefSeq, a predicted model, not a curated record
CCUCAGCUGGCCCUGCCUCUGCCACGGGGGAGACCUCAGGGUCCAAGAAUCGUCCCCUGGGAGCAGGAAAGCCAAGUCCAGAAGGAGAGGGACAGGGGCUGUGGAAGAUAUGACAGCAGUGUCCUUGCCUGAGGAGCAUACUUAGUGCAUCUUUCUCACUCCCAUCCCCACAGACAGAAUUACAGUAUCUCAUCUCAGAUGGGCCUCGAAAGACAUUCUUUACAGAUGCUGGCCUCACUGUCGGGGCGGGGCUUCAGGUCUCUAACCGCCCCAGCCCCAGGACAGCAGUGGAAAGUCACACGCAGCUCGGGAUGCCCGCAGAGCCCCUCCUGACCUCAGUCACCUGAUGAACCCAUCUCUCCAGAUCACUCUGGCGUCCCUUUCUCCGUGGAGCCUUCAGGGAUGAUGUCCCCAGGCAGUUUCCCACUCUCUCCUCCCUUCUGCCACAGCAUUUGUUGUCACUCACUAUGUCUUUUUGUUCACUCGUCCUUGUUCCCAAAAAGACCGUGGGCUCUUUGAGCGUCUUCUCUGGUCCGUGCCGAGUGCACAAUGGUAUCUCGAUAGAUCUUAGACGCUAGAUCACCUUGUUCAGUCAUUCUCAAACAUCUAUGCAUGAGAAUGACCCGAAGAAGGGGUUCAAAUGCAGAUUCUCAGACCCCAGCUGAGCAGUUGUGAAACCUGGGUCUUUAAUUAAAGAUCAGGCAAUUGUGACGCACAUAUGUUCACAACCCACCCUUUAAGAAAUACAGAUUUGUUCAAACUUCCCAUUUUGCAGGUGGAGAAACAGAGGGCUGGGGAUGCAGUCCUGAUUCAAGACCCUUAGCUACUUAGCGCAGUGGGACAGCAUGGUACUUUGAACUAGAACUAUCUUAAAUUCUCAUGAAGUGAAGUAAGCGAACCACAGCCACGCUGAGGAACGUUAAAAAUACCGCGAGCUAAAAUAAUUGCGUACCACACCUUAAAACAUUGACAAGACUCUCCAUGGCCAGAUGCCUCUGCCGCGGUCCACGAUGAGAUGAUGGUACCUUUCUUCCUGUUACUGGCAGGGUCUCCUUAGAAUUUGAAGCGUUUUCUUGCUGACGCCAGAACAAUGACUUCUGCCUCUAAAGUGUCAUUUGCCUCAAUGGCUGCCCAAAGAGGCCAUCUGGCACAAGCUCUAGUGCCCGCGGGUGCGCCCUGCCCACCUUCGGAGGCUGUCAGUUUGCCGCCGCAGGCACAGGGCCCCGAAGAAGAGCCGGUGGUCAGAUGUCUGGCUCACGCCUGUUUUUAUGGGCGAACCCUUAUUUCAUCUGCCCGUUGUUUGGUGAGUGCCACGCGUGCUGGUUACCGCCUUGGACAGCAGGUGCCACCUAGAGGGCCCUGUGACUGCUUCCGUGGUUUCACAGUGGCGAGCUGGGCGGCCUCGGGGCCCCAGGGAAGCUCUGCAGCCACCCGCUAAGGGUUACACCAGCCCCCACGCGGGCCUGGCACUUCGGCUUUAGAGGAGACCGUCGCCAGGGGAGCCCAGGAAGGAUAGAGGAAGGCUAUCUGGCUGGUUCCUAGCUUCCAGCUUCCUCACUUGGUGGGACUCCGAGAGGAAAUGAGCAGGAACUCUGUUCCUCGGCCACAAGGUGUCAGCAGUGGGCUGGCCAGGUGCGAGCUCUGCGCGCAGCCCCGGGAGGAAAGCGCCGGCAGGCACACAAGGUGCUGCCGGUCGCCUUUGAAACUCCUUAUUUGGAGGAAGCCUCUUUCUCAUUAGGAACAGCACAUUGAUUAAGGUACCAAAAGACCCGCCUUUCGGUCUUGCCCGUGGACCAACCACAUGCCUCCAUCUGCCCUCAGAAGAGCGAAGCCGCCGCUGCAGGGCCUUGACUGGAAGAGGUCCCACAGGUGGGGGUUGGGGGUAACGCCGCAGGAAGCGGUGACGUACAGAAGACAAUGGGGGCACAGAAGAGAGUAGGACAUGGACAUGAGUUCUGGCUUGUUUACUUGCUCGCUGUGAAUUUGGAGUCUGGGUUUGCUUCCCCAUUUCUAAAAUGCCAUAUUCCCCAUUUUUCAAAUGGCAACAGUCACAGGAUCGUUGUGCGGAUCAAGUGAGAUGAAAUGAUUUGCAAACCAUGAGGUUCCACAUAAGCAUGGGUGCCGUGGUUGGGGUUCAUCUUUCCACCCGAGUUGUGUCACAGGGCUUCCUCCAGACUGGAGGAACAGAGCCCGAAGCAGGGGAAGGGGCCAGCUCUUCUCCAUGUGGGUCACUGGAGUCCCCUGCGCGAGCCGCCGGCCAUAAACUCCUGAUCUGGCCUGAUAGAGUCAUCUUCCAGCAAGAUUCUUCCUGGAUGCCUUUCCAUGGCUUGUUUCCAAGCAGAAAGCUGGCAACGGCUGCUCACUCUUCCUUCUUCACUGAGCCUUCUUUUCCAUAUUGGAAGAAGAUGAAAUGCACAUUUCAGAAUGUAAGUUUUUCCUGUAGGACACUAUCCCCAAUGGUGGAGUGAUGGAGAAAAAUAUUAGAUGAAGUCAGGGGAUAACUGAGUAACAUACUGAUUUAUAAACUCAUGGAAUGAAAUGAAGGCGUUUUUUCCACUGGUGGGGUUAUUUAUUAUGUCCUAGCUGGCCAGCUCCCAGGGUUGAAAAGGCUUUGGUUCCUGAGUAGUAGAAAUAGCAGGAACCAAUUUUCUCCACUGCUCCUCUUUCAAAAACACAGAACUCAGCUGAUGCUGAAAUACAUCCAGUCAUAGGCCCAACUCGGGAUUCUCCUGCUCAACACCUCAUUGGGGUGAGUGGGACUGAUGCCCAGAUCCCAUCACUCCGGGAUGAUGGCAGAGAGGUGAGGCCGUCGCCACAGGUCACUGUGCUGUGGACCCUUUCCUGGGGCCCAUCCCCUGGUGGAAACCAACUACCCUGAAACCAUCCCACAAAAAACCCUGAUGGGAUUUUGAUUGUAAUUUUACUAAGUUAUAUAUCAAUUUAUGGAAAAGCGACACCUUCAUGGCAUAGAGUUUUUCCUUCCAUGAACAUGGUGCUUCUUUCCGUUUAUUCCAUUUCUCCUUUAUCUUUCAAGAAAAAAAAAUGUUUCUUUGUAAAGGAAAAUUUGUUUCUUUGUAAAAAUUUGUUUCUUUGCACA